GACGAACGCUGGCGGCGUGCCUAAUACAUGCAAGUUGAGCGAUGAAGAUUGGUGCUUGCACCAAUUUGAAGAGCAGCGAACGGGUGAGUAACGCGUGGGGAAUCUGCCUUUGAGCGGGGGACAACAUUUGGAAACGAAUGCUAAUACCGCAUAAUAACUUUAAACAUAAGUUUUAAGUUUGAAAGAUGCAAUUGCAUCACUCAAAGAUGAUCCCGCGUUGUAUUAGCUAGUUGGUGAGGUAAAGGCUCACCAAGGCGAUGAUACAUAGCCGACCUGAGAGGGUGAUCGGUCACAUUGGGACUGAGACACGGCCCAAACUCCUACGGGAGGCAGCAGUAGGGAAUCUUCGGCAAUGGACGAAAGUCUGACCGAGCAACGCCGCGUGAGUGAAGAAGGUUUUCGGAUCGUAAAACUCUGUUGGUAGAGAAGAACGUUGGUGAGAGUGGAAAGCUCAUCAAGUGACGGUAACUACCCAGAAAGGGACGGCUAACUACGUG
RNAcentral lists this ribosomal RNA (497 nucleotides) under uncultured bacterium. RNAcentral describes it as "partial 16S ribosomal RNA". It matches the Rfam family "Bacterial small subunit ribosomal RNA", at positions 28 to 507 of the family's 1533-position model. The record is from RNAcentral.